UAGAACUGAGAAACUCUCGCUCUCGAGCGGAUGCAAGGAUUGCUGCGUCGCAAGGCCGGCUCUCUUUGAACUCUCAGUUUAUGUACUCAUACACCCCAUUACAAACAGUCAAAGAAUGAAACAAUGGGCUUCGUGCCUAUAAAACUAUAUACAACUUUCAGCAACGGAUCUCUUGGCUCUCGCAUCGAUGAAGAACGCAGCGAAAUGCGAUAAGUAAUGUGAAUUGCAGAAUUCAGUGAAUCAUCGAAUCUUUGAACGCACCUUGCGCUCGUUGGUAUUCCGACGAGCAUGCCUGUUUGAGUGUCAUUAAAUUCUCAACCUCACCAGUUUUGUUAUGAGACUGUGUAAGGCUUGGAUGUGGGGGUUUGUGCAGGCUGCCUCAGCGCGGUCUGCUCCCCUGAAAUGCAUUAGCGAGUUCAAACUGAGCUCCGUCUAUUGGUGUGAUAAUUAUCUACGCCGUGGAUGGUUCUUAGACUUGCUUCUAACCGUCCGUAAGGACAACUUUUGACAAUUUGACCUCAAAUCAGGUAGGACUACCCGCUGAACUUA
RNAcentral lists this ribosomal RNA (549 nucleotides) under Ephemerocybe amphithalla. RNAcentral's name for it is "eukaryotic LSU rRNA". The stretch from base 153 to 306 matches the Rfam family "5.8S ribosomal RNA". The record is from RNAcentral. Lineage: Eukaryota; Fungi; Basidiomycota; Agaricomycetes; Agaricales; Psathyrellaceae.